GGAGCUUGCUCUAUGUACCUUAGCAGCGAACGGGUGAGUAACACGUAGAUAAUCUGUCCUAUAUUGGGGGAUAGCCCGAUGAAAGUUGGAUUAAUACCGCAUACAGCUAUAUAGUUGCAUGAUUAUAUAGUGAAAGAUUUAUUGAUAUAGGAGGAGUCUGCGGCACAUUAGCUAGUAGGUGAGGUAAGAGCUUACCUAGGCGACGAUGUGUAGCCGGUCUGAGAGGAUGAACGGCCACAAUGGAACUGAGACACGGUCCAUACUCCUACGGGAGGCAGCAGUGGGGAAUAUUGCACAAUGGGGGAAACCCUGAUGCAGCAACGCCGCGUGAGUGAAGAAGGUUUUCGGAUUGUAAAGCUCUGUUAGCAGGGAAGAGGAAGGACGGUACCUGCAGAGGAAGCCACGGCUAACUACGUGCCAGCAGCCGCGGUAAUACGUAGGUGGCAAGCGUUGUUCGGAAUAACUGGGCGUAAAGGAUGCGUAGGCGGUUAAAUAAGUUAUAUGUUAAAUAUAUAGGCUUAACCUGUAGAAAGCAUAUAAAACUGUUUAACUAGAGUGCAGGAGAGGUAAGUGGAAUUCCUAGUGUAGCGGUGAAAUGCGUAGAGAUUAGGAAGAACACCAGUGGCGAAGGCGACUUACUGGACUGUA
Molecule: ribosomal RNA, 648 nt
Filed under: uncultured bacterium
Lineage: Bacteria
Description: bacterial SSU rRNA
Rfam family: Bacterial small subunit ribosomal RNA
Source: RNAcentral